Polyodon spathula (Mississippi paddlefish) is the source of this 924-nucleotide RNA transcript. It is a transcript of the gene named bridging integrator 3-like, with no coding region annotated. The transcript is spliced from 9 exons. The record is from RefSeq and is a predicted model, not a curated record. Lineage: Eukaryota; Metazoa; Chordata; Actinopteri; Acipenseriformes; Polyodontidae.
GUGACGCCGCCCCAGACUCCGCCCCCUUCAGUUGCAGGAUGCAGGAAACGAGCGAGCGAGAGAGAGGAAAAACAACCAAAACAAACCCCUAAAAUCUGUAAUUCAGAAACCUGCUGGACUGAAACUGGAGCAAACCCCCCGGAACAAUGAGCUGGAUUCCCUUCAAGAUUGGCCAGCCCAAGAAACAGAUUGUUUCGAAGACGGUGGAGAGAGAUUUUGAAAGAGAAUAUAAGAAACUUCAGAAAUUGGAAGAUCAAACCAAGAAGCUUCACAAAGACAUGAAGAAAAGCACAGAGGCGGAUACAGCCAUGUCCAGGUCGGCGGUGAAGAUCUCAUCAGACCUGCUGUCCAACCCCUUGUGUGAGCAGGACCAGGCGUUCCUGGAGUCCAUGACUGCGGUGGACACAGCCAUGCGCAGGAUGGAUGCCUUCAACCAUGAGAAGAUGAGCCAUAUGGAUCGCAGCCCUCGGGCAGGCUAACAGAUUGUGUGGAUCUUCUCUCUCUGGGAGAAUCCUCACAGCAAGACCAGCACCACAUCCUGCCCCUCUCCCUUCCCCCCCAGUGUGAGUGUCUGCUUGGGGCUCUGAGGAGAUGUUUUCCGCAGCACUCUGUAAGCAGUAGUUCAGAUACAAAAGCUGCGAUACUACUGCAGAGGACGGUGCUUCUGUGCUUUCUUUAUAAUAGCAGUGUAUCCGAGUUAUGUCGUAAAGCCUAUUGGAGCAAGGCGUGUACGACCGAGUCCCGGCGCACACCUGGAUUCAAGUCAAGGCUCCUCCGACUCCUCCAGUGUGUGUAAAGUUCCUUGGCAAGCAUAGCGAAAGUUGCAAUCCUAGAUGUGACGUCAACCAGAUCCAGAAGACUGUCAUUGAUCCACUGAAAAAGUUCAGCAGCGUGUUCCCCAGCCUCAACAUGUGAAGUGAAGCG